AGCUCCAAUAGCGUAUAUUAAAGUUGUUGCGGUAAAAAAGCUCGUAGUUGGAUUUCUGUGGGGCAGGAGCGGUCCAUACCACGUAUGCGUAUCUGUUUCCGGCCCUGCAUCCUGCUGAAGCCCGUUUACUGCGCUUGACUGCGUGGUGCGAGUCUCAGCACGUUUACUUUGAGGAAAUUAGAGUGUUCACGGCAGGCAAUCGCCAGAAUACAUUAGCAUGGAAUAAUAUUAUAGGACUCCGGUUCUAUUUUGUUGGUUUCUAGAAUUGGGGUAAUGAUAAAUAGGGACAAUUGGGGGCAUUCGUAUCAACAUGUCAGAGGUGGAAUUCUUGGAUUAUGUUGCGACGAACUACUGCGAAAGCAUUUGCCAAGGAUGUUUUCAUUUGAUC
RNAcentral lists this ribosomal RNA (388 nucleotides) under uncultured eukaryote. RNAcentral describes it as "SSU rRNA". It matches the Rfam family "Eukaryotic small subunit ribosomal RNA", at positions 587 to 978 of the family's 1831-position model. The record is from RNAcentral.